GAACGCACAUUGCGCCCCCUGGCAUUCCGGGGGGCAUGCCUGUCCGAGCGUCAUUGCUACCCCUCAAGCGCGGCUUGUGUGUUGGGCGCUGUCCCUCCCCUUCUUCGGGGGGACAGGCCUGAAAGGCAGUGGCGGCGUCGCGUCCGGUCCUCGAGCGUAUGGGGCUUUGUCACCCGCUCUGUGAGGAUCCGGCCGGGGCCUGUCUCACCCCCAAUCUUCUCUAAGGUUGACCUCGGAUCAGGUAGGGAUACCCGCUGAACUUAAG
This 265-nucleotide unclassified non-coding RNA is filed under the name Sagenomella verticillata. RNAcentral's name for it is "sequence contains 5.8S rRNA gene". The stretch from base 1 to 53 matches the Rfam family "5.8S ribosomal RNA", at positions 102 to 154 of the family's 154-position model. The record is from RNAcentral. Lineage: Eukaryota; Fungi; Ascomycota; Eurotiomycetes; Eurotiales; Trichocomaceae.